RNAcentral lists this long non-coding RNA (1824 nucleotides) under Capsicum annuum. Its description in RNAcentral is "long non-coding RNA (CANN_LNC009008)". The record is from RNAcentral. Lineage: Eukaryota; Viridiplantae; Streptophyta; Magnoliopsida; Solanales; Solanaceae.
GCCAAAUCCAAAGUCUAUAAUCAUGAAGUCUUGCAAAGAUCCAGCUUUCUCUUAUUCACAACAAGAAAACACUACAAUGGUGUACAGUGAAGAGCUCGCGAAUGAGAGUAAACGACAGUUAAUCUCAAAGCUAGGGAUCAUUUCUAGGUCCCGGAGACUAUACAGCAACGCCAAGCUGACAAGAUGUACUAGGUCAUGUGAUUUGCAAACUUACCAGUUCAAGAACACGGAUCGGACUUUGAUGAUGCAACACAAUUUAUUGUUCAUAACAUGAUCCUGCCUUAACUGGAGGACGUCGAGCAUAGAAAUUGGUAACUGGAGCGGCUGGAACACCACGCCUUGUCAAGAGGCAUCGGAAGUACUCCAGCCUCUGCAAUGCAGCUAAAGUAGUGUUUUUUGAGGAUGUGGUCUCCUUGUCGCUCCACAAACGUUCUAGAAAGUAACGCAAAGGCAAAAUCAGUAGCAAGUUCGAAAUUUCAUAUGGAGAACGAAAACCAAAUAUAUGACGGCAAAAUACUGAGUGGAAGAUCCAGCAUCAACCAGUGGUUGAGCCCUGUUUCAUCACCCAUCUUAGGACAGCCCGGUGCACUGAAGCUCCCGCUAUGCGCGGGGUCCGGGGAAGGUCCGGACCACUAGGGUCUAUUGUACGAAGCCUCACCUUACAUUUCUGCAAGGGACUGUUUCCAUGGCUUGAACCUGUGACCUCCUGGUCACAUGGCAGCCUCACCUGGUCAUCACCCAUCUUGUAAAACAAUAAUGCAAUGCCAAAACGAAAAAUAAAUAUCUUGGUUUUGGAAAAAGUUGUCAUGUUUCGACCAGUUUGGCUGAACGCCCCUUUGAGAAAUGCUAUCAUAAGUAAGGCUCAAGGCUUAAGAUAUAUUUGUGAUACGCAACAUAGUUGAACUACAGUACGUGUUGUGCAAUCCAAUAUAUCCAAGAGAAUACCUGCUGCAGCCGCAGCACGUGGCCAUAUGGUCUGUUGAACAUCGGAUGCAUCUGCAGUUUCUCCCCACAUGCAUACUUCACCUCCAAGUACAAGAUUUUGCUCCGAAAUACUUUAACCCCGAGAUUUACCUAGGAUAACUUACCCCACAUGCAUAUGGGAUAACUUAUCCCAUCACUAUAGUCUAAAUGGUGGGAUAAGUUAUCUCGGUAUUGACUAAUACCUCCAACCAAAUAUGGGAUAAAAUAAUCCUUCAUUUUAUCUCGGAACUACUUAUCCGUUAUACCUCACACCAAACGAACCCUAAAGAUCACACUAUCACUGUCGAUUCUUGAGUCAAAAGUGCAGCUCGGUGCAUUAAGCAUUCCGCUAUACGAGGUUAGGGUCAGACUAGAAAGGUCUAUUAUAUAGAGGCAUACCUUACAUUCUGCGAGAGGCUAUUUCGACAGAUUCUUGUAGCUUAAUAUAAAAAAUAAGAAAGGAAUGAAAUAAGAAAUAUGAAAUUACAAGUUUGAAUGUAAUACCUGAGGCAAAAUAUUGCCAAAUCCAAAGUCUAUAAUCAUGAAGUCUUGCAAAGAUCCAGCUUUCUCUUAUUCACAACAAGAAAACACUACAAUGGUGUACAGUGAAGAGCUCGCGAAUGAGAGUAAACGACAGUUAAUCUCAAAGCUAGGGAUCAUUUCUAGGUCCCGGAGACUAUACAGCAACGCCAAGCUGACAAGAUGUACUAGGUCAUGUGAUUUGCAAACUUACCAGUUCAAGAACACGGAUCGGACUUUGAUGAUGCAACACAAUUUAUUGUUCAUAACAUGAUCCUGCCUUAACUGGAGGACGUCGAGCAUAGAAAUUGGUAACUGGAGCGGCUGGAACACCACGCCUUG